UCCUACGGGAGGCAGCAGUGAGGAAUAUUGGUCAAUGGGCGAGAGCCUGAACCAGCCAAGUCGCGUGAGGGAAGACGGUCCUAUGGAUUGUAAACCUCUUUUGCCGGGGAGCAAAAAGCGGUACGUGUACCGCAUCGAGAGUACCCGGAGAAAAAGCAUCGGCUAACUCCGUGCCAGCAGCCGCGGUAAUACGGAGGAUGCGAGCGUUAUCCGGAUUUAUUGGGUUUAAAGGGUGCGUAGGCGGUCCGUUAAGUCAGCGGUAAAAUUGCGGGGCUCAACCCCGUCGAGCCGUUGAAACUGGCAGA
Molecule: ribosomal RNA, 305 nt
Filed under: uncultured bacterium
Lineage: Bacteria
Description: bacterial SSU rRNA
Rfam family: Bacterial small subunit ribosomal RNA
Source: RNAcentral